RNAcentral lists this signal recognition particle RNA (100 nucleotides) under Clostridiales bacterium. Its description in RNAcentral is "signal recognition particle sRNA small type". It matches the Rfam family "Bacterial small signal recognition particle RNA". Rfam says of the family: The signal recognition particle (SRP) is a universally conserved ribonucleoprotein involved in the co-translational targeting of proteins to membranes. Archaeal SRP consists of a 7S RNA and homologues of the eukaryotic SRP19 and SRP54 proteins. In most bacteria, the SRP consists of a 4.5S RNA and the Ffh protein (a homologue of the eukaryotic SRP54 protein). Lineage: Bacteria; Bacillati; Bacillota; Clostridia; Eubacteriales. The record is from RNAcentral. RNAcentral also lists the same sequence under 1 other name.
GUUUGGGUCCUGCGCAAUAAGAAUCUGCGAACCUCGUCAGGUCCGGAAGGAAGCAGCGAUAAGUGGAAUCUCUUAUGUGCCGCAGAUAAGCCUUCUCUAU